CAGCCGCCGCGGUAAUACCAGCCCCGCGAGUGGUCGGGACGGUUAUUGGGCCUAAAGCGCCCGUAGCCGGCCCGGCAAGUCCCUCCUUAAAGCCUCGGGCCCAACCCGAGGACGGGGGGGAUACUGCCGGGCUAGGGGGCGGGAGAGGCCGGCGGUACUCCCGGGGUAGGGGCGAAAUCCGUUAAUCCCGGGAGGACCACCAGUGGCGAAGGCGGCCGGCUGGAACGCGCCCGACGGUGAGGGGCGAAAGCCGGGGGAGCGAACCGGAUUAGAUACCCGGGUAGUCCCGGCGGUAAACGAUGCGGGCUAGCUGUUGGGCGGGCUGAGAGCCCGCCCAGUGGCGCAGGGAAGCCGUUAAGUCCGCCGCCUGGGGAGUACGGCCGCAAGGCUGAAACUUAAAGGAAUUGGCGGG
This 412-nucleotide ribosomal RNA is filed under the name uncultured microorganism. RNAcentral's name for it is "bacterial SSU rRNA". It matches the Rfam family "Archaeal small subunit ribosomal RNA", at positions 459 to 872 of the family's 1478-position model. The record is from RNAcentral.